GGCGGCGAAACGGCGGCGGCGAAUCGGUGGCGGCGAAAUGUCCUAGACCCUAAGGACGACGCUGCCAGUCGUCCAAAACCUGUACAUAAGUUCGCAGCUGAAUACAACUCACACGCACACGAUUACAACACCUCACUAAUAGUUUACGUUUCAGGAUAUUGCUCGGACGACGCUGCACACAAAAAAUAGGGAGCGAUCGUCCCGUCGUCCAAGCCACGAGCCGCCACUGGAUUCUAUAAUGUAUUAUUUAUAUAACUUAUUUAUUUAUGAAUAUUAAGUGCAAAGUAAAUA
Long non-coding RNA from Daktulosphaira vitifoliae (grape phylloxera), 291 nucleotides. RefSeq lists it as uncharacterized. The record is from RefSeq and is a predicted model, not a curated record. The transcript is spliced from 2 exons. NCBI's taxonomy places the organism in Eukaryota, Metazoa, Arthropoda, Insecta, Hemiptera, Phylloxeridae.